This 301-nucleotide ribosomal RNA is filed under the name uncultured bacterium. RNAcentral describes it as "partial 16S ribosomal RNA". It matches the Rfam family "Bacterial small subunit ribosomal RNA", at positions 509 to 808 of the family's 1533-position model. The record is from RNAcentral.
CAGCCGCGCGGUAAAACGAAGGGUGCAAGUGUUAAUCGGAAUUACUGGGCGUAAAGCGUGCGUAGGCGGUGAGUUAAGUCUGCUGUGAAAUCCCCGGGCUCAACCUGGGUAUGGCAGUGGAUACUGGCUCGCUAGAGUGUGUCAGAGGAUGGUGGAAUUCCCGGUGUAGCGGUGAAAUGCGUAGAGAUCGGGAGGAACAUCAGUGGCGAAGGCGGCCAUCUGGGACAACACUGACGCUGAGGCACGAAAGCGUGGGGAGCAAACAGGAUUAGAUACCCGCGUAGUCCCUGUCUCUUAUACA